AGAGUUUGAUCAUGGCUCAGAUUGAACGCUGGCGGCAUGCCUUACACAUGCAAGUCGAACGGUAACAGGUUAAGCUGACGAGUGGCGAACGGGUGAGUAAUGUAUCGGAACGUGCCCAGUCGUGGGGGAUAACUACUCGAAAGAGUGGCUAAUACCGCAUGAGACCUGAGGGUGAAAGCGGGGGACUCGCAAGGGCCUCGCGCGAUUGGAGCGGCCGAUAUCAGAUUAGGUUGUUGGUGAGGUAAAAGCUCACCAAGCCGACGAUCUGUAGCUGGUCUGAGAGGACGACCAGCCACACUGGGACUGAGACACGGCCCAGACUCCUACGGGAGGCAGCAGUGGGGAAUUUUGGACAAUGGACGCAAGUCUGAUCCAGCCAUGCCGCGUGCGGGAAGAAGGCCUUCGGGUUGUAAACCGCUUUUGUCAGGGAAGAAACGGCUUUGUUUAAUACACGAGGCUAAUGACGGUACCUGAAGAAUAAGCACCGGCUAACUACGUGCCAGCAGCCGCGGUAAUACGUAGGGUGCAAGCGUUAAUCGGAAUUACUGGGCGUAAAGCGUGCGCAGGCGGUUAUGCAAGACAGAUGUGAAAUCCCCGGGCUCAACCUGGGAACUGCAUUUGUGACUGCAUGGCUAGAGUACGGUAGAGGGGGAUGGAAUUCCGCGUGUAGCAGUGAAAUGCGUAGAUAUGCGGAGGAACACCGAUGGCGAAGGCAAUCCCCUGGACCUGUACUGACGCUCAUGCACGAAAGCGUGGGGAGCAAACAGGAUUAGAUACCCUAGUAGUCC
This 788-nucleotide ribosomal RNA is filed under the name uncultured bacterium. RNAcentral's name for it is "bacterial SSU rRNA". It matches the Rfam family "Bacterial small subunit ribosomal RNA", at positions 8 to 796 of the family's 1533-position model. The record is from RNAcentral.